CCCAGCCAUUUGGGUUCUGCCUAU
This 24-nucleotide non-coding RNA is filed under the name Arabidopsis thaliana (thale cress). Lineage: Eukaryota; Viridiplantae; Streptophyta; Magnoliopsida; Brassicales; Brassicaceae. The record is from RNAcentral.